Molecule: long non-coding RNA, 23241 nt
Filed under: Gossypium raimondii (Peruvian cotton)
Lineage: Eukaryota; Viridiplantae; Streptophyta; Magnoliopsida; Malvales; Malvaceae
Description: long non-coding RNA (GRAI_LNC000907)
Source: RNAcentral
AAAAAAGGUUCUUCAAGACUCUACAGUUUGUCAAAGAAAAGAGAAAGCUCAUUCCUGAGGAAGUUAAAUUAUUACUCGCCAGGUUGAGAAUAUUUAAAUUUCUUAGAUUGCCCAGAUUAUCCGGAAUGGACCCUGAAAAGUAAUUACUAGACAUGUCAAGAAGAGUAAGCUGAGAGGCAUUGGAAAUAUACAUUGGGAUCGAGCGGGCAAGGUGAUUGAAAUCAAGAUACAAUUACUCCAUGUUUGGAAGGAAAAGGCCCAUGUUUGAUGGAAGAUGGCCAGAGAGCUGAUUUGUAUCCAAAGAAAUCAUCCUUAGAGUUGAAAUAUUGAACAGUUGUGGAGGAAUAGAACCAGCAAUAUUGUUAAAUGCUAAAUUCAACCAAUUUAGAUUGUUUAGGUUGCCAAUCUCAUGUGGUAUUAUACCUGCCAUAAAUUUUAUCAAACAAAAAUAUUAGACAAAUAUGGAACAUUUGCUUGUAUUUUGUUCUUCUAAGAACAUAAAAAUAACUCAAUUAUGAUUUUAUUAGAGUUUUGUGUGGCCUCAACUGGGAAAGAAUGGACUUAAAAGAAAAGAAAUAUACUAUUUGCAAUGACACGAAAAAAAAUUAUAACUAUUGUAACAUAAUCAAAAUACAGAAAGCCGUUGAACAAAAUUAAACCUAUCAUUAAAAGUUGGAAAUAAUUGACCUGUAAAAUUGCCAUGGGAACAAUCAAACAGCCUGAGAAGAGUUAAAUUCACAAUUUGUUUAGGAAUUUCACCUGCAAUUAUAAAAUUCACUUGUCAAAUUCAAAAUUCAUCUCUUAGUAAAGAUUAUAAGAUAAUAAAUGCUUAAUAACUUACUUAGCUUUCCAAUUUUAUAUAAUAAAGUCAUUUUAAUUCUCUAUUUAAUUUUUCACCUUUAAACUUGUAAUAUUUGUCAAAUAUACCUCCAAAAUGGAUCAAAAAAUCCAUGUGCAUGUCACGUACUUAGUUUCUUGUUUGUUUAUCUUAUUUCUUCUCUAUCAAAGACCAAUAUUUAUUUUUAUUUGGUCCAAUCAAAAAAUAUUUUAUCAUUUCUGUAUUCGCAAGUCAAUAUAGAUGGAUAUUUCAAAACAUAUAUAUGUCUCUCUUAUUCUCGAUUUUCUCAAGCAAUUUGGUGGAAUACUCGAACGUUCGAUUCUUUUUUUUGGUCUUAACUUCAAUCUUUAUGAAUGAAAACAAAAGAAAAGAGUUUCUCAUUAUGAUCUAGGUUUCAUUUCUAUGGGUUAAAAAAAUUAAAAUAGUUAGUUGAAAGACCCAACAAAAAGUUGGUUAUAGAGGAGUUCAAGGAUAGAAAUAACCAAAACUCAUCUCAGCUACUGUACAAAUAGGUGUCGUAACCAUUUUUUUGUAAAAAGGUCGUUGACUUGGAUUUUGAAAAACGAAAACGAACAUGGGAGUCGCCACCAAUCCUUUUUAUUUAAGUGUGAUCGGAUCACCUUAUAAUUUAAUCAUUUUAAUAAAAGUUUUAAAUUUACUAAAACGAUAAUUUUUUUGUCUACAAAAUCCAAGAAAAGGGUUCGGGAGUUGGUUAUGCAUGAGGAAGGAUUAGCACCCUCGAUGCACCCAAAAUUGGCAUCUAGUUGAUUAAUUAGUUUCUUAGUGUCGAAGAUUGAAAACUUUAAAGAGAUUUAAAAUUUGAUCCUUUAUUGAAAUGCUAAAAAAAAUUGAGGAAAAGGGCAUACUUUACGUUAAUCGAGAAAAGAGAAUUACGUCCCGUAAGUUAAGACACAAUACCACGUACUUUUGAGAAUAAGCUCCCUUUUGUUUUUUUUUCUCAAAACAUGUUUAUUUUAGUUUUUAAAAGGAUAUUCGGUUAUUUGGGUUCAACGCGAGAAGAAUCAAGACCCAGUAAGUUAGGAUACGACUUCUCGGAUUUCCAAUUACAGAAUAUUGCCUUUAUUAUUUUUUAGAAAAGAACCUCAUCUUGAGAAAAAUAACAUGUCAUAUCCAAUGCGUUAGGACACAACAUAUCGAAUUCUCGAGAUAAGCUUUAAUUUUGGAAUUUCUACGUUUAAAUUGAAAAAGGGAUAUUCAGUUACUUACAUUCAACAAGGAGAAUUGAAGCCCAGUAAGUUAGGGCACAAUCCCCUCGAGAAUCUUGGAUACCGAGUAGUUGAAAACUUAUGGAUAAAAUGAUUUCAAUAUUUUUCUAAACGGAUGUAACGCGAUUGAAUGGUAACGUAUUACGCAAAAGUAUAAUUUAAAAAUAAAAUACACGUUAACGAAUCAUGAAUAAUAAAUAAACACAAACUAACAUAGCGAUAAUAAUCUCAAUCAUACAUGUCGAAUAUCGAUAUCAAUAUUUGAAAUAAAAACGAGCUAAUUAAUGCAAACACAAGCCAAGUGUAUAAGUUUUGAAAUGACUAGAAAAAUAAAUGGUAUGAAAAGAAUGGAAAUUGUGAAUCAAUAAAGCAUAUACAUAGAAAUUUUAACAUAAGUAUAUACAAAAAAUUUGAAAUAGAUUAAAAUGGAGUUUAAAAUAAAAUAAAAUAAAAUAAAUAGUAUGCGAAGUAAAUUUUAGAGUAAAGGUUCAAAAUAUUAAUAUAUACAUAUAUUAAAAUUUUAAAAAAAGUAAUACGUAUGGGGUGGAUAUAAUAUGUGGUACUAUACGUAAAAGUUGGAGUUAGUGAAGUAUAUUAAAAUAGGAUUUUUUUUUUUUUAGAACUACAUAUUUAUAGAUAAAAAAUAGAUGUUAGCAAAUAUAUAUACAACUAUAGUAAAGAAAGGACUGAAAAUUAAUAUGUAAUUUGAUAAAAACUAUGUAUCAUAAAAUAAAACCAUUUUAAAGAAAUAAAUCCCAUUGGAUUGAUAUAAUAAUAUGAAAUAAUGAUAAUGAUAUAAAACGUUAAAAAAUAUAAAUACGUAAUAAUAAAAGAGUAAAUAAAUAUAAAUAAGUGUAAUAAUAGUACCAAUAAUAAUAAUAGUAACAGUACUAAUAACAAUAAUAAUAUAAAUAAAAUAAUAUUAAACAGUUAAUUUUACAAGAAAAAAUAAAAAUAGAUAAAAUAGCACUGACAACAGAGAAGGACUAAAUUAAGCUUGAAAAUAAAAGUUUGAGGCAAAUCUAGAAAUAAAUGAAAAAGGGAUCGCGCUGAACACGCGAACAACGGGGAAAGACCAAAAUGGGAAAUAAUCCCAGCUUUCCAGAAUGUUGAGUUUUGCGCGGACCAGAUUGGAACAAAAAAUAAAAUGCAUGGCCAUAUUUAAAGGGAACAAAAGAUCGAUUUGAACUCAAUAUGGAAUACAGGGGACCAUUUGCGUAAAUUUCCCACGCGUUAUAAAACACGCAGAUCUGGGACCGGAUCGGGGCGGGUCGCGUGCUGGUCGUGCAAAACAGAGCCGUUUCGGCACUGAAACUCCCAGGUGAAACGACGUCAUUUCAAUAGCACUAUAAAAGUUAAAAUUUUCCAAAAUAGACUCAUUUUCUCCUUGUUUCAGAAAAAAAACAUUGGGGGUUCUCUCAAGUCCCCUUUCUCCAGCCCUAAACUUCGGCCAAAGUCUGGCCACUAUCCACCGUACCGGUCGUCGAUCGUCGGCAUUAGCGCCGCCGAGCACGGUGGUCGGCGAGGGAAAAAAGUUUUUUUUAAUUUUUCAGCCCCCUAGACUCAAAUCCAACCACAAAACACCCAAAAACGUAAUAAAAAGGGGCUAACAACCCUCUCAACGACGAGUUUUGCCACUAAAGAAGGGACCUUCUGACGAUCAAGGCGCGGCGUAACUCCGGUGAGUCCCUUCCCCUUUUUCUUAUUUUCGAACAACAAAAAGAAAGAAAGAAUAAAAAAAAGGAUUGAAAUCGAAAAUAAUCACCUUAAAAAAAACUUUCUAUUUUUGAUUAAUUUUUAUAUAUUUCGAAUCAAUGUGUGCGUAAAAAAUUGUUACAACGAGAAUACUUUGGCUUUUAUAGCCAAAUUACAACCGUUUGAUCUUCAUCUUUUUGUUUUUUUUUUGCUCUUUAUUUUGCUGGAUUCUUCUGUUGCUUUGCAUUGAUUUCUCUCUGCAGGUGUCAGAGGCGUGCGAUGCGCGUGGAGGUGACGGGCGGCGAUGGCAGUGUCAGAGGUGGCAGAGGCUUGUGGCGCACCUAGGGUUUCUGCCUCUCCCUCUUGCUGAAAAUUAGUUUAGGUUUUGGGCCAUUUGGGCUUUAAGGUUUUGAUUUAUUUGGGCUGUAAUUGGGUUUGUAAUUUAGCUGAUAAUUUGGAUUGUUUGGAUUAUUUAUUUUUUUGGUUUUAUUUCUGUUUAUUUUUGGGUUUUGGGCUUGGGAAAAAAUUGAUUAUUACAGAGAUAUUGAAGAUGGUAGAGGGAAUUGAACCUGAAAUCUGGUUUUCAAACAAAUACAAGACCUCUAGCUUUGACAAAUAGGCUAAAGAGAAUGGAAUAACACCUUUGAAGUUGUUUUGGUACAAAAACAACCUUCGAAGUUCAGUUAAUGAUCCCAACCAUGAUGGGAUUUCUCCACUGAAGGUGUUGUUACCAAAGCUUAAAUAUUUCAGCCGUCGCAAAUUGGAUAACUAGACAGGUAAUCUGCCAUAGAAACUAUUGUUUGUGACAUAAAGAAGAGAAAGGAAUGACAAAUUUCCCAAGUGAGGUUGAAGGGUGCCUACGAGUCCCAACUGUUAGAGUUAUUAAUAAAAUAGUCAAAGCUAUUACUAAGUCAGUUAGCAGUUAAGCUAUUACUAAGUCAGUUAGCAGUUAGAAAGUUAGCUGUAAUGUCAGUAAGCUUUAGCUUACGUGCUUGUAUAAAUACAUGUGAGGUCUGCAUGUUUUAAGUGACCUAAUGAAAAUAAUUCUCUUCUUGAUUCUUUCAUUUUCUUAGUUUCUUGUAGUUUUACAUGGUAUCAGAUGUAAGUUUUUCCUGGCAUUUUUUCUUCUUCUUUCGUUAAUCCGCUGUGCAGUCUGCAUAGUCAAUAUGGCCUUCAAUUCUUCUGACGGAGCUAUUGACAGUCGGUUCUUUUCUACAAAGAGGAUUAGUGUUCUUCUUGACGAUAAUACCUAUUUACUGUGGCGUCAGCAGGUUCUCUUGGCUAUAAAAGCGCAUAAACUUCAAAACUUCUUGGACCCUCAACAAGAUCCUCCCACUCAGUUUCUUGCCGAUGGUAGUGGUGGUUUUCAUGAGAAUCCAGAGUUUGCACAUUUUGAGCAACAAGAUAGUGCAUUUGCAUUGUGGUUGUUAUCUUCUAUUAGCCAAACGGUGCUUCCUCAUCUUAUUGGUAUGGAUACCAGUGCCAAGAUUUGGAAUGCAGUUGUUACCUUGUUUGGUAGUAAAACCACCUCUAAACUGAUGUCCUAUCGAAGAGCUUUGCAUUCUCAACGCAAUGGCAACUUGAGCAUGAAUGAGUUCUUGAUGAAUGUUAAAAGUUGCUGUGAUAAUCUCGCUAGUUGCGGUGAAGUCAUCAGCGAGCAUGAGCAUGUUACUGCAAUACUCAAUGGUCUUCUUCCAGAAUAUAAACCUGUCAUCACCAUUGUUACAGCAAGUCAAGUGCCCUACACAGUACAAGGUGUAACUUCCAUGCUUCUCGAUACUGAAGCUCGACAGCAGGUGAUGAGUUGUAAAGUCUCCAGUUCUGCAAACUUGGUGUCUUACCAGUCUUCUGAGUCUUCCGAUACUACUGGUUCAAUACCUGCUUAUCGACAGUCAUCUGCAACUCGGGGACAUCGGUGAGGGCGUUCGUCCAACACGAGGAUUCAAUGUCAGCUAUGUGGGAAAGCUGGUCACCUUGUUGACCGUUGUUACUAUCGGCUCACUUGUCCAUACACGUCAGCUUAAAAUGGACUUGUUGAAUUAAAACACCGACAGGUAGUUGAAACCGGCCUGUCCAUGUUAGCUCAUCCAACCAUGCCUUUGAUGUUCUGGAAUGAAGCCUUUUGCAGUGCCGUGUUUCUGAUUAACAGAUUACCCUCCCAUCCCUUGGGUGAUAUAUCACUAUAUGAAAAAUUGUUUAAAACAAAACCAAAUUACUCUUUCCUUCGAACUUUUGGCUGCUUAUGCUUUCCUAAUCUUAUACCUUUCAAUAAAACAAAGCUACAGUUUAUAUCUAUUCCUUGUGUCUUUCUCGGCUAUUACCCAUUGUACAAAGGUUACAAAUGUAGAGACCCUAUUGGUAGAAUCUAUAUUACUCGUCAUGUCACAUUUAAUGAGGCCAUUUUUUCCUACAAAAUGCAUAGUUCAACAGUCAUCCCAUCUACUGCUGUUCCACAGGUCAAUACAAAACUUCUUGUCCUACAUCCUAGCACUGUAUCUUGUAAUAGCAUCCCACCUAAUGUUAUUUCUACUAAUCCCUCUUCAACACCCACUUCACAGUCCACCUAUCCUAUUUUAGCUCAAACAUCACCUGCUUCACCUACGUUAUCUAGAUCCUCUUCACCUCCACAAUUGCAACCCUCCCAAUCCGCCCCGAUCAACACUCAUUCCAUGAUCACCAGGAGUAAGGUUGGAAUUUUCAAGCCAAAGGCUUAUUUGAGCACGACAUCUUCUUCUCCUAGUGAUGUUUCCUCUAACAUACAUGCAACGAUGGCGUUUGAAUGCUGGCGAAUAGCGGUUCACAGUGAAUUGCAAGCUUUGGUUCGUAAUAAUAUGUGGACUCUUUGUUCUCUCCUUGAAAAUCGACGAGCAGUCGGGUACAAGUGGCUCUUUAAAAUUAAAAGGAAGGCUGAUGGGUCCAUCGACAGGUACAAAGCAAGAUUAGUUGCGAAAGGGUUCUCUCAACAUACAGGGCUUGACUUUCAUGACACAUUUAGUCCACUAGUUCGAGCUUCCACCAUUCGCACUAUUCUUGCGUUAGCUGUUAUGUAGGGGUAGGCAAUGCGUCAAGUUGACAUCAAUAACACCUUUCGUAAUGGUGAGCUUACUGAAGAAAUAUACAUAGAGCAACCCUCUGGUUUUGAAGUCUCAGGUGCCUCUGGUCAGCCACUUGUGUGCAAAUUGAAUACAGCACUCUAUGGCUUGCGACAAGCCCCUCGUGCAUUCGAGUGUCUACAGGGAAUUACCUGCUUCUCAUGGUUUAUUUCGAUGACAUUGUGCUCACUGGUAGUAGUGUUCAAGAUAUAGAUGCUGUGGUACAUCAUCUUCAUAACAAAUUUGCUCUUAAGGAUAUGGGAACUCUCAGUUUUUUUUUGAGAAUUGAUGUCCAACGUACGUCCCAAGGAAUGUUGCUCAAUCAGAAGAAGUAUGUCACUGAGCUUCUUCUCAAAACUGGUAUGAUCGGGGCAGCUUCUACACCGACACCCAUAGUAAGCACUCCCAAGUUAGUUGCUUCAGAUGGCAGUCCUCUUUUUCCAAAUGUUCAUUUGUACCGAAGUACAAUGGGUAUGCUUCAAUAUAUAUGUAUUACACAACCCGAUUUGUUGUUCUGUGUAAACAAGCUUAGCCAGUACAUAAGUUCCCCCAGUGUCACUCAUUGGAAAGCUGUCAAACGUGUUUUAAGGUAUCUGGCUGGCACCAUAGAUCAUGGUUUGUAUUUUGCAGCAGGUCCAUUAGAGCUGGUGUGUUACUCUGAUACUGACUGGGCCUCAUCCAUUGAAGAUCGACGGUCUACGUCGGGAUAUGUGGUAUACUUAGGAUCAAAUCCUGUUACCUGGUGCUCAAAGAAACAGUCGGUGGUAUCCAGGUCGUCUGCUGAAGCAGAGUAUCGUAGCCUAGCCAACUGUGUGUCUGAACUGCUGUGGAUUCAACAGCUGCUAAAUGAAGUUGGAGUACCUCUGUCUAAGUUGCCAAUCGUCUGGUGCGACAAUUCUUCUGCAGUUUCAGUAGCUGAAAAUCCCACGCAUCAUUCUAGGAUGAAGCAUGUGGAAAUAAAUCACCAUUUUGUUCGUGAGAAAGUUCUUGCUGGAAUCCUACAGGUCAAUUUUGUUCCCUCUGAUCAACAGAUUACAGAUGUCCUCACUAAACCAGUUACUCCUAAGCUGUUUUCAUCAUUUCGACAUGCUCUUCGAGUCUUGACGUUAAGUGAACUUAAUGAUAAAAAAUCAAACAUGCUAAGGGAAUGUUAGAGUUAUUAAUAAAAUAGUCAAAGCUGUUACUAAGUCAGUUAGCAGUUAAGCUGUUACUAAGUCAGUUAGCAGUUAGAAAGUUAGCUACAACGUUAGUCAGCUUUAGCUUACGUGCUUGUAUAAAUACAUGUGAGGUCUGCAUGUUUUAAGUGAUCUAAUGAAAACAAUUCUCUUCUUGAUUCUUUCAUUUUCUUAGUUUCUUGUAGUUUUACACCAACCCAGUAAGGUCUAGAGCUGUGACUCUACGGUGCUUGGAUCCACAACUUACACCAAACCAAUAGCAAACGGGGGAAGAGGCUGACCAAUUAGUUGUCAAGACAUUUUCAGGAUCAUGAUGAAUAACAUGAUCUCUUAGUGCUAGAAGAGUUGAUUGAUCUGUAAGUAUGGUGGUUAAUUUCAUAGAGAAAUUAGUAGGCAUAGAAAAAUGGAAGAUGAUAAGAAGAGCUAAGUUGAGGAAAGUAUUCCCCAUUUGAUUUUAGGUGCUUAUCGAGCUACCAACAAAGCCAGAACUGAAUGUUGUAAUUUAUUCUUGCAACAUUGCAAAUUCUUUGAAUGUGAUUUAGGUAGAAACUAUAGAAUUUAUUAUAGGAUGUGAUAAUAUGAUUAUGUAAUUAUUGCUUAAAAAACUUCUUUCUAAAUUUCAUAUAGUUGCACUAGUGCUAAGAUUACAACUUUUUUUAUUAAAUUAUUCUAGAUUAGUGAAAUUAUUAGACAACGUGAUAAUUUCUUAUCAGAUAGGAAGUGACAAGUGAGCAGUCACUUCCAAGAAUAUAAACAACUCAAUCACUCUCUUAACUAACGGUAUCAAACACUAAUUGUUGUUUCUAUUGACUAAAAGAAUUUUCAACCAAAAAUAUGUUGACUUAAAAUUAAAAUAAACCAUCAAAUUUCUUAGAACAUUCAAUGAGGUUGAAAGAUUUUAUUUUUAAUUUUUGUUAUUUUGGAAUAAUUUUUUUUCUUUAUAAUUUUACCAAAAAAUAUAUUUUAACUUUUUAUUUUUUUAGUCAUUAAAUUUACAUUGUUUGUCAAAUUAUCCUAAAAUAAAUGGAAAAAAUCAACGUUUGUUAACUUUGCUAAUGUGCCACAUGUGGAUUGUCACGGGAAUGUCAAGUUAGAAAUUAAUUCAUUUUUAAAAAUUUAAAAAUUUAGAAAAUAUUAUUAAUUUAUUUUUAAAAUACUAAAUUUAUUUAAAAAGUAUAAAAGUAUAAAAUUAUAAAAAUAUUUUUAUUUUUAAAAAUUAAUUAAUUGCUAACGUUGUACAUUAACUUUUUCAUUCAUUUUAGAUGAUUUGAAAAACAAUACGAGUUUAAAAGUUAAAAGUGAUAGAAAAUUAAAUAAAAGGCUAAAAUGAAUUUUUUUUAAAAAUAAAUUUGAAACGCCAAAAAAUUCAUCAUCCUUUUUUUUUUUGUCCUAUCAAUACACUUAACAACAUGCCACCAUAAUUUUGAUUUUCUCUGGUAAGUCUGUAUGCCAUAGGUUUUUUAGGAAAGCUUUGUUUGUAAUUUCAUUAGUAUCAUCAUCUAGACUAGAGGUCUCUUUCAGUAGCCUUCUGUAACCACUCCUCACAAUAUACUCUCUUGUUACCCCCCCCCCAUUCCAUACCCUAUUUUCCUCUCGUGGAUGUCUCGCUAGAGGAAUUUGCAAGAUAGUUUGUACCUCUUCCCCUGUAAACAAAGAGGUAACAAGAUCCUCCUUCCUUUGUCUCAGAUUAGAUUCACUCAGCUCUUCCACCUUAAUUAUAUUGUGAUCUCAAACUAACUCCUGGAUUUUUUUAUCCUUCAACCCAAGGAUCCGAGCAUCCUGCCACUCUCCAAGCCAUUCCAUCCUAUAGUAGUUGCUUCAUCGCCCAUACGCUCCUCCAAGUAUAAAAAGGAUAAUUACCUAACUUUGGUUGCAUGAACUCGACAUUGGGGAAUAUUUAGCUUUUAAAGUUCUAGCUAAUAACGAAUCAUGAUAAUUCAUUAAACUCCAACCCUGAUUUGCAAAGGCUAAAUUCAUCUUGGAUAAAUUUUUAAACCUUAUUCCCCCAUCUUCAUUUAGUUCACACAAUUUAUUCCAAUUGCAUCAAUGAAUCCCCCUCUUUCCUUUUUGUUUCUGCCACCAAAAUCGAUUUAUAGCCUGUUCCAUGUCAUGACAUAAAGAAUUCAGUGGUAAAAAACAAAACGUAGCAUAAGUCGGAAUUGAUUGCAGUACACUCUUAAUAAGAAAACUUCCUUCCCUCCCUAGGGAAGUAUUUUAACACACCAAUUAUUUGUUCGUUUUGCAAUCCUAUCUUUCAAGCCCUGAAAGGUCCUUCAUUUUUACCUCCCCACAACAUUCAAGAGCCCCAAAGACUUCUCUGGAUCCAUCAAACAACGCACCCUUAAUAAUUGAGCUACUGAGUCCUUUGCAUAUGUAGAAUUAUUUGAACUAAAAAAUAGUGUUGAUUUCUCUAAGUUGAUACUUUGCCCUGAAUAUUCUUCAUACUUCUGCAAAAUCCUUCUAAUCUCAUUUGCUCGCUUUUCUGUAUCUUCACCAAACAAGAUAUAGUCAUUCGCAAAAAGCAAAUGAGUAAUCUCAAGACCCUUUCUACAUACCUUGACACCUUUUGUUCUCCCCUCCCCUUUCACCAUCCUCAUCAAUGUCAAUAACCCCUCUCCACAAAUCAAGAAUAGAUAAGGACUUAGCGGAUCCUCUUGUCUAAGGUUAUAAUCUCCCUAACUUGGACUAGACGUUAUGACCAUAUUAAAAAGGCUACAUUAGACUCCAAAAUGACUAAACAGACUAUUUGACCUUUGAAAAUCCUUAACACACAACUAAUUUUAAAGAAAAUUGGUAUUGGUGAUCCAAGUUAGAUAAAACAUUUGUUUAUUGGGUUUUCUUACAAAAAAAAAAACCCCUAAUUUUUUUUCUAACUUUAGAAAAGUCAUCACCCUUGAAAUUAAUUAACAUUAAAACAUUCAUUCAAUUAGGCCAUCUUUACUUAGAUUCUAUUUUAUUAUUGUUGUCAUGUUUUAGAAAACUAAUUGUUUUGAUAUUUUGUUUCACAAAAAUCAAAUCUUUAAAAUGUAGUGGAAAACUAUUAUUCAUAUCAUUUUGGAAAUCCAACUGCCUUAUUGAUUUGUUUUUCAAAGCAGUUAAUUUGUAACACAAUGAAAAAUUGGUGAUCAAUGUCAAUUUUACUUAAGCCAUAUAUCAUGCAAUUAUUAGUUAUUAAACUUCAGUAAUAUAUGCAUGCACAAAAUCCCCCUCCCCCAAAAAAUAAUCAAGCCAUAGACUAGAGGAGUUCAUGGGCCGGGCCGGGCUCAAAAAAAUUUUGGCCUGCCCUAAAAUAUGCGCUUAAAAUUUUAUCCAGGUCCAACCUGAGAAAAAAUUUUUAAGCUCGGCCCGACUCAUUUUUUAAUAAACACCAAAAAAUUAUUUAAAAAAUAAAAAGUAUUUUAAAAUUUUUAAAAAUAUAUAUAUAUUUACUAUAUUCGGGCCAGGCCGGGCCCGAGCUUGGGCCAAAAAAGUGGUACCCAAGGCCCAAUCUAUUUUCUAAACCAGCCUUCUUUUUUGUCUAAACUCAUAUUUUAGAUCUAUAUAUUUACUUGAAUUCUCUCAUAUUUCGGGCGGACCGUCCUGACAGGAGCACCUCUAGCUUUUAAGGACUUGAUUUUCAAUUUUUAACUUUUCCUUUGUUUUUCUUUCGUUCUGUUUAUAUGUCAGGUCUCCAAGAUGCCCUCCUUAUUUGGCUCUAACCCUUCAUCCUCCGAUCCUGCAAACGACACCGUGCCUUCCCCUUCCUCUUCUUGUUCCUCCUCCUCCUCUCCGGACAUGUGGAAUUACUUUUUUAUCCCUAUCCUCCUCCACCUCACCAAAAAACUCUCCCUUGCUAAAGCUCAAACCUCAACUGGACUCCUCCUCCCGAGUCAACGCGGCGACGGCUCGGCCGAUGAUUCACUAAUUUCCUUUUCGAGGUGCGCGAAUGCUGACCCGAAGCUAUAUUAUCGGCCUGUGAUUGGGAUACUGAGUCAUCCAGUAGGCGGCGCGUCGGGGGGCCGUUCCUACAUAGUUGCGUCGUACGUGAAGUUCGUGGAAGCGGCCGGGGGUCGAGUCAUUCCUCUUAUUUAUAAUGAGCCGGAAGAGAUUCUUUUCCAGGUAAUAAUCAUGAUGUUCAUUUCCUUGUAAAAAUGCUGAAUUUUGACUUUGAAUAUUUGCGUGUGUGUGUGUUUUUUAAAAUUCGGUUAAAAAAAUGGACAGUCGUGAAUCUAUUUUUGGAAAGAAAAAUUCCUGAUUUAGAAUCUUAAAUAACUUUGAUACUGUGAAAUUUGAUACUGUGAAUUUUUAAUAUUUUGUUUCAUAAUAAGUUUUUCCUCUUAAUUAAAUGUAAGAAUAUAAAAAUGCUUGCUAUUCCCGCAUUUCAAAAAAUUCUCUCGUUUUUGUUAAAUCAUAAAAUUAGGAUACUACCAGUUGUUGCAAUCUCCUUACUGUCUAUGCAAAGGAUAGAAUUUUAGCUUAGUUGCAUUUUUGUGGAUAUUCUUUAGUACCUUAAUAUUUGAAAUGAUAUUUUGAUUGCAUAUGCAUAUGCAUAUGCCUUUCAUUCCCUUGCUUUUGAUUUGCUACGAUUAGACAGUGGUAUGAUGCUAUGAUACCCGCUUUAGCAUAGUUGUUGCCUUCCUUUGCCAAAAGCCUGUCACCUUGCUAAGUGUCUUCUCCACCUUCGUAUUGCAGCAAGCUUGAAUUGGUUAAUGGCGUGCUUUUACCAGGAGGGCGGUCUAAAUCCGGCUUGUACUAUGAUAUUGCUGAAAAGAUUUUCAAGGUAAUUUAUAUUUAUAUUUGUUUGUUUCUUGAUUUUAUGAAAUUCACAUGAAACUAACAAAAAAAUAUAGGCAAGAGAUUGGUGUUAGCAUGCAAGUCUUUUGUUUCUUCAACUUAUGCUUCAAAUGUUUUUAUAUUUCCAAUUUUCCAUGGGUUGCAUAGAAAACUUUUAUUCUUUGUGUUUUUGCAGAAAGUUAUAGAGAAGAACGAUAGGGGAGAUCAUUUCCCGUUAUAUGCCAUUUGUUUGGGUUUUGAACUUUUAACAAUGAUUAUCAGCGAAGUAAGCACCUCACAUUAUCUGACAUUUUUUUCUGUUUCCUUUUUAAAAAAAAAAAAGAAAAAAGAAAAACAAUUUAAUUUUCUUCAGGCUUUUAUCUGUUUAUAUGGCUUUUUUAUAUGGCUUUUCUUGAUGUAGUUAACUUUUGUUCACUAUUGUGGACUUUCUCUACUAAUAUUCAUUCAUGCGUCAUGGCAGAAUGACCAAAUGAGACGUUUUUAAAUUUCUUGAUUUAAGGAACUCUAUAAUUUCCAUUUGUGAGAGAUUACUGUUGGCCUAACAUGGCUAAAUAAUGGCAAUUCCUGCAUGUUCACCGUAUUGUGGAAACUGCAGUAUUUGAUCCGUUAGGAUGGCAUGGUUACCUUGUUUGUGGCAUCCAAACCAAUGGUUGACCUUGCUGGAAAACAUUUUCUAAUGGAUUUGAAAUCUCAAAAUCUUAUCUACUGAUUCUUUAGAAAUCACUUCAUUUCAAGUUAGCUUAAAUCUACCCAUGUCUACUGUAUCCAAUAACUUAUUUUACUUAAGGAUUUUCUUUGUUGAAUUAUAAAAAAUUUAACAAAAUCUUAUUUUAAUGAAUACAUACUUUUUUUCUUCUUGCUGAUAGGACAAAAAAAUUCUUGAACGAUUUUCUGCAUUAAAUCGGGCCUCUAGUCUCCAAUUUGUGGAAAAUGUUAAUAUUGAAGGAACAGUAUUUCAAAGGUGCAAAACCUUUAUUACCUUUCAUGGUACAUUAGUAUUGUUUGAUUUUGGUGCCAUUUUUCUAUUGAUGCUUUUGCUCAGAUUUUACAUUAUUAUCCUUGGAGGAUUAAGUAUUUUAUAUUUCAAAUAUGUUUUGCUGGUCAGGCAUUAGAUGAUUUAUAGGAAAGUUCACAACAGUUAACGUGUUGAAGUAACGAAAGCCUCUCUGUAUGCGCUGCUAAUAAGGGAAAGAGUCUUGUAAUACAUAUGCAGUUUAUGUUCUGUCAGACUGAUCUCUCCAUUUCACUAUUUGAAUAAGAACUUUGUUGCAUGAGGAUAGAGAAAAGGAAGUCAACUAGUUGCUUGAGAUUUCCUGAAGUUGUUCUUCAGGUUAAAUGAUGACCAUAGCAUAAUAUUUGGUGUGAAACUUUGGUACUAUGGGCUUACCACUUUUCUUGUUAGCUUUUGCUUGCACCAUAGGCACAUGGCAAUGAAUUGGUAUGGUAACCAGACUUCACAUGAAGCUUUUAGUGUAGACCAUAAACAAGUUUAACACUUAAAUAGGAAGAGAAUAGAUGUGUGCUUGUUUAGCUUCCUGAUUAGUGUCAUUGAAUUUGUUCUUAGUUGAUUGAGGAGAGUGUAAUAAACCCUUCUCUGAACUUCAGAGUUACACCUUUGAUAAAUAGCAAUAGCUGAGCACAGCAAUAAACAUUAAUUGCCUGUUUGCUUUAUCAUCAAAAGGCUUUAUGAAUGUUGUAGGUAUAUCCAUUUAUAAUAUCUAACCUUUCAAUCAGUAGUAAAAAUGAGGUGAUUUUAAGCUGAUAAUUUGUAGUUUGGUCCAAGUUAGUAGCAGAACAAUAUUGUCAUAAACUUUCUACUUAGCCCAACCUGGUUGACAUCUUUUAUUCGAGAGCUUUUCUUAUAGUCAGUGUAAUUAUAUGUUCAUUGCUCCAGUCAGUGCCACACUUCUACAGCUUGAUAGUUAUUCCCUUUUGCCAGAUUUCCUCCAAAUUUGCUGCAAAAGCUUGGCACAGAUCUCCUAGUCAUGCAAAACCAUUGUGUGAGUUUCAUGGCUCCUUUCAUUUAUAUUUUAAAUUAGUUGCACGUGUAAGUGUUUGUCUUUUGCUUCUCUAGUAUGUCCGCUUUGGAUCAUUCCUAAAACCUUGAACUGAUAAUGAAGGAUCUAAAUUCUGAUUUAUUCAAUGUUUUCAUUUUUUUUAUCAAUUUUUGUUGCCACUGGUUGCCUGUUUCCUCUAUUUGGCACUUUUAACAGCUUCCUACUUGUUAGCUUGUGCAGAUUAUUAUUUGAGAGAUGAAAUGUAUUUUAAUGCACAGUAAAUUGUUCCUGCGUUCUGUUCUCCUAAUAUGUAAUUUGAUUUCCUUGAACCUCAUUCUUGGUCUCUAAAAGCCUAACUUAGAAGAAAACUCAACAGGCAAGAUGUCGUGCUAAGAGUAGAGACCUGUCAAAGAAGAAAAAUGCUAAUAUUUCUUCAGAGUUAAGGAUAAUAUAUCCCUAUUCAAAAGUUAUCUUUCUUUCAUGUGCGUAUUAAGAGAAUCCUUGCCGCCCUCCUUUGUGGCACAUUGUCUGUGUUAUGUUUCUAUGUACAAGCUAAUUAGCAUUGCCUAAAAUCAAUGUCUAAUUGUAACAGUGGGGCAUUUCACCAGAGAAGCUUCAAAAUACUCCAAAUCUGUCCAGAUUCUUCAAGAUCUUAACAACAAGCACAGAUAAAAAUAACAAGGUUCUGAAUCUUACCAUCCCUAUGCCAUAGGAAGUGUCUUAACUUGAUUUAUCUCAUUACAUUUUAUGGCUGCUGUAAAUGUCCUUAUUUCUAUUUAAGUGUUAAUAACAGGUAUAUGUCUCCACUGCACAAGCACAUCGCUAUCCUGUCACUGCCUUCCAGUGGCAUCCAGAGGUACCUCUUUUAGUGCUUUCUGAUCAUCGUCAUGUUUAUGCCUCAGUACAGUUUGGCAUGGCAAUUUUAAUUUUUCUUGUUAAAUAAUAAUCAUAUCAAUGACCACUACAAGGAAUUGGUGUCCUUUUUUUCCCUAUUAACUUCUUUGUGUAUCUCUGCUUCUGUUUCUCUUACUCCUUUUAAUUUUGUUUGCAAAACUGUAGUGUUAUUCUAUGAUCCACUAAUACACUCCAUUUCAUUAUGAAUAGUCUGACCAUAUAUUUUGCAGAAAAAUGCUUUUGAAUCGGGCUUGUCUAUGAUUCCACACUCAGACGACGCCAUUGAAGUGACACAACAUGUUGCAAACUUUUUCAUCAGGUUAGGAAUGUUAAGUAAGGAAGUUAUUAAUAGUUCUCUAUAUUCUUACAAUUUAGUCAACAACAAACUGAGCGAAUGUUAUAUUCGAGUGAGACACAAUCUUGCUCUUCAGCAUAUUAUUUGGGUUUUGGGCAGCUGUUCCUAUGUGGAUAUGCUUUGCUUCGUCCUAGAGCAUAUGUAAGGAAGAAAUGUUUAAAGGAACUUAGAUAAAUUUUAGGAUAUAAACAAUAUAAGAAUAUAAAUAGUUUAGCAUGAAAGGAGAAGGAAAGGAAAUAGGCAAAAUUCAUUUUCAGCAUGCUAUACUACAAGUAGUUUUUCUGGCUGAGAAUGAAAUGCCCGUGGUUUUAUGAAUAUAAGAAAGAGGAAAGGAAAGAAAAUGCGUAUUUCUAAUUAUGUGACAGACUAGAGGUGAGGUAUUUGUGUUCGCGGCAUAAGAAUUUGAGUUCAAACCCUAACAUUGUUUCGCCCUACCAAAUUAUAAAAAAUAAAUACCAUCUCUUUCCUUCGUCUGUUUGGAAGAUGAGGUAAUUUAACUUUUCUUUUUUCUGGUACAGAGAGGCUAGGAGAUCACUGAAUAGGCCAGCUGCUCAAAAAGUGCGUGACAGCCUUAUUUAUAAUUACAGGCCCAAGUAUUAUGGGAAAGCUGGGUAAGCUGAUAUCAAUCCUUUUGAGUUUUGACACUAUUAGGACACCAUCCUCUUGAAUGUAAGCUGAUUGACAUGGUUGUGAAUUUGAAUGCUGUAGGAAGGGUUUCGAUCAGGUCUACAUCUUUACACAACGUCAAGCUCGAAAUUGAUAGAGUUGCUGCCGUGUACAUAGUUAAAGAUGUAUGUGGUUGGAUGUAUGUAUAUUGUUGACGCUGUAUUUGCAUUGUGAUUUGAAUCUGAUUGCUCUCUUCAUUUAUAUAAGCUACGGACUGGAUGCUUGCCAAUGAGGUGUAUGAGUAGUUAUUGUUGAUGAACAAAGUUUGCAAUGCUUAUUCUUAUUAGCUCAAAUUCUAAAAAUGAUAAUGAUUAAAUUAUAAUCUGUUACUUGUGUUAUAAAUAAGCUUGAAUACUUUACCAUAGAAAUAGGGUUUAAGCUUAAAAAUACAUUCUUUUUGUGUGAGAUAAAUAUAAAAAGAACUGGAUUUGUAUUUGAUGCGGUUUAUGACAUGCUAUUGAAAAUAAGUGUGAAUUACAUAAAUGUCAAUUGACUAUUAUAAUUUUUGUUAGAUUAUUCCAAUUUAAAAAGUUUCAAAAUAAUUAAAUUUCAUUUAAUUUAUUAAAUUUAUUAUAUCCAAAACUGUUAUAAAUUAGUAACAGUCGAAUGGUGUGUUGUUAACUUAAUGAUAUGUUUUUUUAACCCAUUAACUUUUUUUCACAUUAUUUCCAUGUCAUAUUAUAAUUUAAAAAAAAAACUAAUUUAAACUCCAAAAUUCCAAUAUGACAUGGAAAUGUGGAAUAAAAUUAAUGAUUAAAAAGACAUAUCGUUAACAGCCACGUCAGCAGAUUAUUAGUAAUUUAGCAGUUUUGAACUUAAAAAAAAAUGAUUUUGAUAGUCUGAUAAUCAUUUUAUAAUUUUUAAAAAUCAAAUAAUUUAAAUAAAAAAUAUAUAUAUAUAAUAAUCGGAUAGCCAUUUAUUAUGUAGUUUGCCAAAGUAUUUUAUCAAUUGGAAGAUGAAGCAGUAAACCAAUAAAUAUGUUGAAUAGUCUCCAAUUGAACCAUUUAAGAUAUAAAUCCCAAUAAGCUCAAUUAAUGGCUCUAAUCAACUUUACAAGAAAUAGUUCUUGACAAUUUGAAGGGUGAAUAAUGAAUUUCCAGAACUCUUUGAAGAAAAUCGAGAAGAAAAUUACUUUUAAGAAUCAGAAGAAAAAAAUCUUACACAAAAAAACUAACUCUAAACACCUAAAGUACAUCUAAAUAAAACUCUAAUUAAUCUAAAUAGGGGUGAAGCCAUAAAUUUUUUAGGGAGCCAAAAUUAAAUUGUAAUUUCUACAAUAGUAAAAAUGUAAUUUCACCAUUUUAAUAACUUAUAUCUUUAUAAUUUUUAAAGGGUUAAAUCAAAUUUUUAUUAUUUUUAGGGGUCAUAAAGUGUAAUUUUACAUUUAUUAAUUUAAAUUUUUUAAAAUUUUAAAGGGUCUAAAUGAAUUUUUUUUCAUUUUAAGGGAGUCAAUGCCUUGUCAUCCCCUAGCUAGCGUUUGAAUCUAAAUAAAAAAUAGUUUUAAACUAAAUUUUCUUAUUUAACUCAAAAUACUUGGCCUGCAAUAAUUUUUCUUGACAAAAAGAUCCUCCAAAUAUUAUUUAUAAAUUUGUAUUUGAUACGUUGAUAGUGUUUUUUUUAUUCUAUAAAUAGUUUUAAAAUUUUAUCAUAUAUCUAUUUUUUUAAAAAUUUAUUUAGUUUUAAUAUUUUAUUGUACACCUAUGAUAACACUUGUCAACCCUUAAUCCUAUUUAUAAAAUCUAAAAAUUUAGUAACAAUUAACCAAAUAUUUCUAAUUAUUUAUUAAACUUAAUUAAAUAAUAGGUUAUCUAGUAUUUUUGAGUUAGCUAUCUAUUUUCUUAACCAAAUAUUUAAAUUACCAUUAUGGACCUAUGUAGUUUUUUUUUUAUAUAGGUAGACAACACCAUAAAGUAAUUACAUUCUUAAAGUACUAUUAACAUAGAGAAAUGAUAUUACGCUCAACUAUCAGUAUAUUUCUCACUGGAAUCUCUCAAAAUAAUUGUACAUUACCUAAUCCAUGUGAAGCUAUCUUGGUUAUAUGAUCAGCAAUUUUAUUUUUAGAAUCUCUCAAUUUGCUAUUAGCCAUUCCACCAAUUAAAAUUAAUUCUACUAGAAGCGCAUUGUCGCAUUUAGUAUUUUUAAUUAUAAAAAAUAAAUUUAAUGUUAAAUAAAAUUACUAUUUAAUAUUAUAUUUCCUCUCUCCUCAUAUACAUGUUCUUCCUUUCCGAUUCCGUCAUUUUCAUCCCUUUUCUCAUUCAUCUUCAUUCAUGCAGGUUGAAAGGUUUUUUCUUUUUCUCGUUAAGCCAAUGACAUGAAAUUUGGGUUUUUAUAUUGAUGGAGGAGAACCGUUUCUGGGUUGAAAACUAUAAAUUUUGGACUUCUAAACUUGAAAAACCUAUGGCUACGCUUUGAUAGCACCAUUUGUGGAUGAGGUGUUGAAGCAAAAAUCCUUUAUUAAAAAAAGUUUGGGACUUUGAUUUUUUUUUCAAAAGAGUUCUUUUUAUUUUCUUUAAUUGUAAAAAAACAAAGAAACUGUGUUGGGGCAAGAAAAAGAAAAGCUGGAGAAGAUUGAAAGGGUCUUUGUUUAUAUGCAGAAUAUUCAAAGAAAUAAUUUGAAUCAUUUCCCAUCCAAUUUUAUAAAAAUAAUUAUUUUAACCUUCUAUUUAUUAUUUUAAUCACUUUUUAAUUUUUAAAUUUAUAAUAUUUAUCAAAUUAUUCUAAAAUAAAUAAAAAAUUUAACAUCGGUUACUUUUGCUAAAAUGGUAUACGCGCCACUUAAAUAUCACAUCAUCAAUUAAUUUUUUUUAAAAAUUUAAAUUUCAAAAUUUAUUAAAAGUGUUUUAAAAUAUUAAAAAUAAAAAAAUAUUUUUUAAUAUUAAAAAAUUAAUUAAUUACUAAUGUGACAAUUAUAAAUGCACACGUUGAUUACCACAUUAACAAUGUUACAAAAGCUCAAUGGAGGGCUAAAAUGCAAGUCUAGUGUUACUAAUCUCACAUUGCUAAUAUAUAUAAAGUACAAAGAAUUUGAAUAGACAAUUCAUUAUAACUUGAGUAAUUGAGUUGGGUGCAAUUAGAUAGUUAACUUAUUGAAUUUUACGUAUAUUUGUUAUAAUGACAACUGGGCUUAAAUUUGGUGGUGUAAAUAAUUUUUAUAUAUAAUUAUUAUUUUUAUUUUUUAAAAUAAUAAAUUUUUAUUCGCAUUUGAACGAAUUUAUUCAAAUAAUCUAUGUUAAAAUUUACAGUAUCAAAUUUUACCUAACAAAAGGAAAAGAUUAUUUAUGACCAUAUAAGUUAUUUAAGAUUCUAAAUCAGGAAUUUUUCUUUCCAAAAAUAGAUUCACGACUGUCUAUUUUUUUUAACCGAAUUUUAAAACACACACACACCCAAGUAUUUUUAAUUAAAUAUAUAUAUAUUUAAUAUUAUAUUUCCUCUCUCCUCAUAUUCAUAUUCUUCCUUUCCUAUUCCUUCAUUUUCAUCCCUUUUCUCAUUCAUCUUCAUUCAUGCAGGUUGAAGGUCUUCUUUUUCUCAUUAAGCAAAUGACAUGAAAUUUGGGUUUUUGUUUUGAUGGAGGAGAACCGUUUCUGGGUUGAAAACUGUGAAUUUUUGGACUUCUAAACUUGAAAAACCUAUGGCUACGCUUUGACAGCACCAUUUGCGGAGGAGGUGUUGAAGCAAAAAUCUUUUAUAAAAAAAUGAUAGGGACUUUGAUAUUUUUCAAAAGAGUUAUUUUUUAAAAUUAUAAAAAAACAAAGAAAACUGUGUUGGGGCAAGAAAAAGAACAAGAGACCUGAAGCUGGAGAAGAUUGAAAGGUUCUUUGCUUAUUAUAUGCACAUUAAUGUUAAAAAAAAAGGUUUCAUAAAAUUAGUACAAAUGAUCAUCAAAUUUCAGCUCAACUUCGUUUCAUACAUGCUCGAUUUUUGUUUGAAGAAAAUGCUCAUUAAGUAAUGAUUAAUAUAGAUACCCAUUAACUUUAUUAUAACUAAUUCUUCUUUUAAAAAAGUAUUCACAAAAUGCGGAAAUAACUAGUAAUAAACCUUAGGUGUAUAAAUAUUUAUCAAAGACAUUGCUAGAAAGCAAACCUCAUGUUUAUUUUAGUCAAUUCAACAACUGCCUCUUCAUCGAACUCGUUCCAUAUCCCUUAAUAACGUCACUUUGAUCUUCUUUAACUUUGUAACAAUCUCUUUCAUAUGAAGCCUCUCAUUUGGUAACUCUACACAACAUUCUAAGCCAACUUGCAAAAUGGAUAAGGCACAAUUCUUGACUUUUAAAUCUUCCCUUCCAAUGGUGCUCAACAACUUGGGAUCUACAACUUGAUUUCGCGAAGAUGAUAUCGACUCUAUCACCCAACUCUUCAAGCUUCUUUCUCCUGCAAACAUUUCAUCUGUGGGCUUUUUUCUUGUGAUGAUUUCCAUCAAAAGAAUACCAAAACUAUACACAUCACCUUUUGUCGAAACAAUUCCUUCCAUUCCAUAUUCUGUAUGAAUAUAAAACAACAUUAUGAAUAUUCAAAGAUAUCUUGAUAAUGAAAAUUUCCUAUAAAAUAUCUCAAACAUUAUAUGCUUGCCUGUUAUAAUUGAACUAGGAUUUACUCUAGUUGCUUCCUUAAAAAGUCACAUUCAAUGUGUUUGAAACUCAAAUGUUAACAGAUAUAUAUGAUCCCUUUUGUUAUGCACAUUCUACACUUCCAUUGAAAAUGGAAAAAUAAAUAUGGAGUUUGAUUAGAAGUAUCACCUGGUGCCAUAUAUCCAAAUGUUGCCAUUGUCAUGGUUUGUAUCAUUGAAACCUCUUCACAUAAGAGUUUCGCGAUGCCAAAAUCACUCAAAUGCGCAACCAUAUCUUCAUCUAAUAGAACAUUGUUGGGUUUUAAAUCACAGUGAAUCACGGGUGUUGCAUUGCCGUGAUGGAGAUAUUCCAAUGCAGAUGCAACAUCUAUCAUUAUGUUCAACCUUUGUAGGGUAUCCAAAUAUUGGUUGUUGGAAUACAGCCAUUUAUCAAGACUCCCAUUAGGCAUGAACUCAAGCACCAACGCUUUGAAAUUAAGAUCAUUAGAGCAACUGCUUAUUACUUUGACUAAAUUUCUGUGACGAGUGUUGCGGAGAACAUCACAUUCAACAUCAAAGCUCUUAAAAGCUCCUUCUAACUCAAACUUGAAGACCUUUACCGCAAUGAUCGUCCCAUCCGGGAGAGUCCCUUGGAAUACUGCACCAUAACUUCCAUUACCAAGCAACCUACUAUCAUUGAAUCCAUCAGUAGCUUGACGAAGCUCGUGGUAUGAAAAUCGUCUCCACGUUCCUAAAGGUAUCAUGUCUUCUUGAGUUGGCAAUUUGUCUUUCCUCCUCCUAUUUUGCAAGAUAAUGAUAAUCAGAGCCACAACCAAAAUUGUGGAGGCAAUUGGCAGAGCUACAUAUAGUAUGAGCUUAGUUUUUGCCUUGGAAUUUCUAAGAGGUCUAGUUUUGCAGUUUGGAACAUGAAGCCGAGCUGCACCACACAAGGCUUCAUUCCCCUUAAAUGAUUCGAUUGUGUAGUUUUCAAAUGAUCCUCCUUCAGGAAUUUCACCUUCAAGCCUAUUAAAAGAGACAUUGAAAUAUUUGAGAUAACGGAGUUUCUCUAAGGAUUUGGGAAUCUCUCCAAAUAGAUUAUUUCUUGACAAGUCCAAGAAUUCCAAACUCAACGAUUCAUCAAAAGACUCAGGAAUAGAACCCGUGAUUCUAUUAUUGGAUAAGGAAAAAUGAGUGAGGUCCUUGAGAUCUGCAACUCCAGUUGGGAUAUCACCUGAGAACUGAUUGUUCGACAAAUCCAAACUACUCAAAACUUUCCAUUUUCCAAUGUCAAUUGGCAGUGGACCACUCAGAGAAUUUGAAGACAAGUAUAGGAUGAGGAGAUAGUUAAGCCUUGUCAACGUUGACGGUAUUGAAGAGGAAAACAUAUUGGAGUCUAGAAAUAGUUGCCUUAAUGAAGUGAGAUCACCUAAGCAAGUAGGUAUUGGCCCAGACAAUUUGUUAUUGGUUAAGAACAAGAAAGCCAAUUUGUUUAGAUGACAUAACUCAGUUGGGAUGGAUCCCUCUAACUUAUUGUCCUUAAGAGAAAGACUUUGCAACUCUUCCAAUCCUCCAACUGUAGUAGGAAUCUGUCCUAUCAAUUUAUUGCCUCCUAGCUCAAGGCUUAUCAAGUGACUUAAGUUUCCAAUUUCACUGGGGAUGCUACCCCUGAUGUUGCAUGCAGAAGCAGAGAACUCUUCAAGAGAACUUGAGAGAUUUCCUACCACUCUUGGAAGUUCACCACUAAUAAAUGAGUUGAUCUCGAAAAAAAGGCUCUCCAAGACUCUACAGUUUGUCAAAGAAAAGAGAAAGCUCAUUCCUGAGGAAGUUAAAUUAUUAUUCGCCAGGUUGAGAAUCUUUAAAUUUCUUAGAUUUCCCAGAUUAUCAGGAAUGGACCCUGAAAAGUAAUUACUAGACAUGUCAAGAAGAGUAAGCUGAGAGGCAUUGGAAAUAUACAUUGGGAUCGAGCCGGCAAGGUGAUUGAAACCAAG